RNAcentral lists this long non-coding RNA (906 nucleotides) under Marmota monax (woodchuck). Lineage: Eukaryota; Metazoa; Chordata; Mammalia; Rodentia; Sciuridae. The record is from RNAcentral.
CUUCUCCCUCAUAAUGUCCACUUACGACGCCACAGCUCCUAAGCCUUUCAGAGCAGGCUGGGACCUCUGACCACAGCUGUGGGGAGGGAGGAGUUGCCACUGUAUCUGGACCUUGUCCUCUGCCCUCUAGGGCUGCUGCCCCCAGGGCUGGACCCACCAUCCCCCACCCCUUCCUCCUGCCCCCUCCUCCGCCCACAUGCUGCCCAGCUGUCACUGCCCCUGAGCUGGGCACUCCGCCGGCCCCCAGCACUCAUGAAUCGCCAGCAUUCACACUCUGACCCCAGAGCCUUCACCUGUUCCCCUCGGUCUGAGCGUGGUCUGUGUGGGCCCAUCUGUUGUCCUCCGUCCAGGACUCAGGGCAAGAGACUGCACUUCAAAACCCCCAACUUCCACCUGCCAGGAGUGGGUGGGGAGGACUGGCUCAGAGGCAGGGUCUAAUUUGGGGGGUCCUUAUCUCCUUUCUCCUCAUCCCGGCCCACCAGCCUGUCCCAAACAGCCUACAUUCCAGCAUGAAAAAAGCAAAAACCCAGUUCUUCUAAAAGGACCUUUGCAUAUUUAUCAGCACCCCUGACUUCAUGUCAUUUAUUCAUGGCCAGCUCCUAGCCAGGGACUGCUCAGCAUGCAGGAGCAAACAGAAACAAUGCGGUGGGCACUUAAAAAUUAAUUCUUUAUUAUACAAGUAAUUUGUGAAUACACUUUCUCGAUAAAGUAAUAAAACCAUUCAUUGUAAUUCAGGCUCCAAAUCUCUAGGAUCAGUCCCCCAAAGCCAGACCUUUUCUCCUAAACACAGAGGUGACCAUUGUUAUCAGUUUGGUAUGUAUUUUUUUCAGGCGUUUUGUAUGAUAUAUAAUAUAAGCCUAUAUUUUAUAUGGCAUUAUUAGUGUUGGGUUUUGAGGGUGUGUGUGU